UAACGUCUGGAAUAUUUGUGGAGCUCUUAUUUUGAACCUACAGUAUGCAUAAGGGAGUUCAAUAUUUAGAUGUGAAUAAAUCUAUAAGACCAAAUAAAUUGGCAAGGUUAAUGAAACAUCUGUGAGAACACCCACCUAUCUGAGAGAUAGGUGUCAAAAUCAGAGCAGCGGUAUUUUGGACUUAUU
RNAcentral lists this non-coding RNA (186 nucleotides) under Clostridium brassicae. RNAcentral's name for it is "6S RNA". It matches the Rfam family "6S / SsrS RNA". Rfam says of the family: E. coli 6S RNA was the first non coding RNA to be sequenced, but its function was unknown until recently. It consists of 184 nucleotides that fold into an extended hairpin structure with a large single-stranded internal bulge. The record is from RNAcentral. Lineage: Bacteria; Bacillati; Bacillota; Clostridia; Eubacteriales; Clostridiaceae.